Molecule: ribosomal RNA, 253 nt
Filed under: uncultured bacterium
Lineage: Bacteria
Description: partial 16S ribosomal RNA
Rfam family: Bacterial small subunit ribosomal RNA
Source: RNAcentral
UACGGAGGGAGCUAGCGUUGUUCGGAAUUACUGGGCGUAAAGCGCACGUAGGCGGCUUUGUAAGUUAGAGGUGAAAGCCUGGGGCUCAACCCCAGAAUUGCCUUUAAGACUGCAUCGCUUGAAUCCAGGAGAGGUGAGUGGAAUUCCGAGUGUAGAGGUGAAAUUCGUAGAUAUUCGGAAGAACACCAGUGGCGAAGGCGGCUCACUGGACUGGUAUUGACGCUGAGGUGCGAAAGCGUGGGGAGCAAACAUG